This 346-nucleotide ribosomal RNA is filed under the name Podarcis cretensis. Its description in RNAcentral is "partial large subunit ribosomal RNA". It matches the Rfam family "Bacterial large subunit ribosomal RNA", at positions 1967 to 2511 of the family's 2925-position model. Lineage: Eukaryota; Metazoa; Chordata; Lepidosauria; Squamata; Lacertidae. The record is from RNAcentral.
ACUUGUCCCCUAAAUAGGGACNNGAAUGAACGGCUAAAUGAGGACAAAACUGUCUCUUACGGACUAGCCAAUGAAAUUGAUCCUUCAGUACAAAAGCUGAAAUUAACCCAUAAGACGAGAAGACCCUGUGGAGCUUCAAAACCAAAACCACUAAACAUGCCUCCUGGUUUUUUAGUUGGGGCGACUUUGGAGCAAAAAAAACCCUCCAAAACAUAAAUCUAUUUAUUAAGAACAACACACCAAAAAUAAUAUUAUAGACCCAGCAGUAUUAAUUUACUGUCUGAUCAAUGAACCAAGUUACCCCAGGGAUAACAGCGCUAUCCUCUUCUAGAGUCCUUAUCGACAA